RNAcentral lists this ribosomal RNA (253 nucleotides) under uncultured bacterium. RNAcentral describes it as "partial 16S ribosomal RNA". It matches the Rfam family "Bacterial small subunit ribosomal RNA", at positions 524 to 776 of the family's 1533-position model. The record is from RNAcentral.
UACGAAGGGUGCAAGCUUUACUCGGAAUUACUGGGCGUAAAGCGUGCGUAGGUGGUUUGUUAAGUCUGAUGUGAAAGCCCUGGGCUCAACCUGGGAACGGCAUUGGAAACUGGCUUACUAGAGUGCGGUAGAGGGGUGUGGAAUUCCCGGUGUAGCAGUGAAAUGCGUAGAUAUCGGGAGGAACAUCUGUGGCGAAGGCGACACCCUGGACCAACACUGACACUGAGGCACGAAAGCGUGGGGAGCAAACAGG